Molecule: transfer RNA, 75 nt
Filed under: Pseudomonas aeruginosa
Lineage: Bacteria; Pseudomonadati; Pseudomonadota; Gammaproteobacteria; Pseudomonadales; Pseudomonadaceae
Description: tRNA-OTHER
Rfam family: tRNA
About the family: Transfer RNA (tRNA) molecules are approximately 80 nucleotides in length. Their secondary structure includes four short double-helical elements and three loops (D, anti-codon, and T loops). Further hydrogen bonds mediate the characteristic L-shaped molecular structure. tRNAs have two regions of fundamental functional importance: the anti-codon, which is responsible for specific mRNA codon recognition, and the 3' end, to which the tRNAs corresponding amino acid is attached (by aminoacyl-tRNA synthetases). tRNAs cope with the degeneracy of the genetic code in two manners: having more than one tRNA (with a specific anti-codon) for a particular amino acid; and 'wobble' base-pairing, i.e. permitting non-standard base-pairing at the 3rd anti-codon position.
Source: RNAcentral
GGGUCGUUAGCUCAGUCGGUAGAGCAGUUGGCUUUAACCAAUUGGUCGUAGGUUCGAAUCCUACACGACCCACCA